Long non-coding RNA from Triplophysa dalaica, 3097 nucleotides. RefSeq lists it as uncharacterized. The transcript has 3 exons. The record is from RefSeq and is a predicted model, not a curated record. NCBI's taxonomy places the organism in Eukaryota, Metazoa, Chordata, Actinopteri, Cypriniformes, Nemacheilidae.
UGGCAAAAAAAAGAAAAUAUGAAUCACAUGUGUUUCCAUCAACUGGUUUUGAGUGAAUAAAUUCCUGCAACGGGAUCCUCCCGCCAUGAGGCCGUCCCGUUCCCCCCCCCUUGGAAAAAUACAUUGAUGAAAACAUGGCUGAUGAAGCAGAAAUAAAUAUGACAGUGAUAGCAUUUUGAUGAAUAUUUAGUUACAAACCAGUAGUAAUUAAUUUCUUGUUAUAAGUAGGCAUGGGCCGGUAUGAGAUUUUGGUGCUAUAAUAACCUUGCUCAACGAAUACCACGGUUUCACGGUAUUGCUAUUACAACACUAAAAUGUGUUACCUUCAAAUGUAUGCAUAUACAACUUUUCGACUGGACACAAUUAAUUUCAGUUUGAACCCUAACAUGUGUGUCAGGUAAAAAUAAAGCCUUAAAAUUACAAUAUUCUUUAAAAAAAAAUAUAUAUAUAUUAGACAUAAACAUCAAACAUUGAAUUACAUGAUUAAACAAUCUAUUUUUAUGCAAACACAGCUCUUACCUUAGAAACUGUAUCACAUAAUUUUUUUUGUGGUUUUGAAACCUUAACUCUUUUAAACCUUGGUAUACCUUGAAACCGGUAUGCGGCCCAUGCCUACAUAUAAGUGCCACAUUUUAAGAGGUUUUUUUCAAUGACCAUAAAACUGAAAUGAAAUUAAUAUUUAAGUCAAAUUAUUUUAUUCUAUGCAUGUUUUUUUUAAUUUAAAGUUUUUAUUUCAGUUUGACAAACUUGCUAAUUUUUUUUACUAAUAUUAAGGUCUGUAAUCUGGAAACACCUGAUAAUCCACAUGUUUCAUUCUCUUUAUUUUUCAUACGGAUGCAAAGGGUGAGCAUUACAUUUAGCCAUAAUAGGAUAAAGCAGCAUGUGGUGGGUCUAUUGCAAAAUAACACUAUUGCCUGAAGUCAACAAAAUAGAUAAACAGUAUUAGGCAGACUGUUUUGUGACAUUAAUUACAAUUGAUGGGAGAAGACAUGUUUUAGGUCUUUGAAUUGCCCCUGAUUUAAGUUAAGGGUAAAAAAUGAUCUGCCUAUUCCUGAUAGGGGCAGUAUACUGCACAUGUAGUGUGGAAACAAUGUUCUGAAGCUAGCUUUCUUUAAAUUCUGGCCAUGGGACAGAUCUUUGAUAGCUCAGGAGACCUGGAUGUAAUCUCGUUAUUGUUUCAUUUAUGUAUCCAUUUAAUCACAGAUUUUGCUCCAUUUCCUUAAAACAAUCAGUUUGAGACAGAUAUGAGGAACUCUAUUGUAAACUUUUACCGUAGAUAAAAAGAAAGAUCUACUACAUUUCCCUCUCCACAACAGCUUUGAACAGUCUUCUUCUCAUAAAUUAGUUAGGAAAAUUUCAGCCUCCUUCACAAACACCAAUGUUGUCUUGUGGGAGAAACAGAAAAUGUAAUAUUAAUUUUAAUUUUAGUAUAAGCUUGACUAUUUAUCCUGUUGAGACCUCACCUUAAACACCUUUGGAGAAAUUUGGUUCUAAAAAGUGAUAGAAGCAUGAGAAUACAUUUAAUAUUUUGGGGUUGGAUACCUCCUCUUUAUAUACAACUAGUUGCAGCUUCUGUAGCAUUAUCCCCCUGUCAUAAUCAUGAAAAUUUAGAAUGCUCUGAUCAAACGCUAAGUACAGUAUUGCAUUGAUGACUAGAUCUCUUGACAUAUACCGUAGAUCCUUAAUGGCUCUUUUCAAUCAUAACCCCCAGAAGCUACUUCCACCAGCCCCCCAGAAGCUACUUCCACCAGCCCCCCAGAAGCCGCUGCCACCAGCCCCCCAGAAGCCGCUCCCACCAGCCCCCCAGAAGCCGCUCCCACCAGCCCCCCAGAAGCCGCUCCCACCAGCCCUCCAGAAGCCACUGCCACCAGCCCCUCAGAAGCUAUUGGCAUUGAUAUCACAGGCUCAUCAGCCGCCACAAGACCCCAAGCCCAGAAGGCCAAAAAUAGACCAAGAAAUGAAGUACACUGAUCCAGUCCAACAGAUGGAAGCCAGCAAGAAAAAGAAAAAGUGAUGAGUGUCCAGAAUGCUGUAGGAGAGUGAGCCAAAACAACUUUGAUUACUCCAAGGUUUUGAAAAAAAGAGUGAGAGGGGUUUGUCUUUCUAAAGCAUUUUCACACAGUCUUGCUUUAUAUCGAUGUACUUGCAGUCAUAGACUACUUCAUAAAAUCCUUCCAAACAUCUCAUCUGCCCCAACACUGCUUAGUGUCAAAUUGUAAAAUUGAUAACCAGACUAAAAAUACAACAUGAGAUGAACCGCUAUACCCAGUAUUUUCAGAUUGGAUUAACUUCAGGUUUUUUCUUUGGUAUAACAAUUGUGAUUCAUAAACCAACAAUGACAACAGGCAAAGCAAAAAACAAUUAUGUAAAAGAUAAGGGUGAAUAGUCCAGCUAAAGCAUACACUGAUCACCAUAAUGGUGACUUAAUAAAAUAAAUUCACAUUGAGCUAACAUAUUACUAACAUAAUAACAUGGUGACAUCACUAUGAUCAUCCCAUGACCUCAUGUGUUGACUGUGUAGUUAUGUUGCCGUUUAUUUAAUGCUAGUUGUUCUAGGCCUUUGUUGUUGUCUGACCAGUUUGAAACCUACGAUUACACACAGUUCUGUAAAUUAACAUACUUUUUUUUUUCCUUCAUAGCCUUCAUACCUUUUGCAAGUAUUGACAUGAACAUUUAAAACAUUUUUACAUUUAAUUAAUAAUGGUCUUAAAAUUGUCUUAAAUAUCUUUACUUUUACUUGUUGAAACUUGCAGAAGCCCUGAAAAUAUUAGAGCAUAGAUAAAAAAGGAUAACACUCUGGACAUGCUGAAUGUGAAGUUAACAUGAAUUGAAACCGAAUCACUUUGAAUUCUUUGUAUUCAAUAAAAAUGCAUUUGGCGCCAACAAUGUAUUCAUGUAAUUGUUACUGAGCUGGAUCAUGACAUCAUUGUUUUCUUCAAAGCUGCUGUUUUGACAGAUGAACUAAGUAAAAACUAAUCAAUAAAGUCUGAACUUAAUAAUGCUGGACAUUGCCACCCAUUUUUCUAGAGCUGCUACACAAUUUGUAUUGUAAAUAAGCACUAUUUAAAUAUCAUGUUAUGUCAUCAUGUAACCUUUA